CGGGGUGUAGCGCAGUUUGGUAGCGCGUCUCGUUCGGGACGAGAAGGUCGUAGGUUCAAAUCCUAUCACCCCGA
This 74-nucleotide transfer RNA is filed under the name Phycisphaerae bacterium. Its description in RNAcentral is "tRNA-Pro". It matches the Rfam family "tRNA". From Rfam's summary of the family: Transfer RNA (tRNA) molecules are approximately 80 nucleotides in length. Their secondary structure includes four short double-helical elements and three loops (D, anti-codon, and T loops). Further hydrogen bonds mediate the characteristic L-shaped molecular structure. tRNAs have two regions of fundamental functional importance: the anti-codon, which is responsible for specific mRNA codon recognition, and the 3' end, to which the tRNAs corresponding amino acid is attached (by aminoacyl-tRNA synthetases). tRNAs cope with the degeneracy of the genetic code in two manners: having more than one tRNA (with a specific anti-codon) for a particular amino acid; and 'wobble' base-pairing, i.e. permitting non-standard base-pairing at the 3rd anti-codon position. The record is from RNAcentral. RNAcentral also lists the same sequence under 1 other name. Lineage: Bacteria; Pseudomonadati; Planctomycetota; Phycisphaerae.